Chenopodium quinoa (quinoa) is the source of this 2440-nucleotide long non-coding RNA. RefSeq lists it as uncharacterized. NCBI's taxonomy places the organism in Eukaryota, Viridiplantae, Streptophyta, Magnoliopsida, Caryophyllales, Amaranthaceae. The record is from RefSeq and is a predicted model, not a curated record. The transcript is spliced from 9 exons.
UUCAAGGUAAAACAAUUGAUAAAUUUGGCUAAAAAAAUGGUAAUUUGCAACAAAAUUUUUAAAAUUGGUGGUCUUGUGCAACAUUUUUUAUAAAAGGUGGUUAUUUGCAAAAAAAACAAGAUUUAAAAGGUGGUUUUUUUUGCAAAAUUUCAAAAAAAAAAAAAAAAAAACAAAAAAACUCCAAUGUGUUCCUCUUCUCUGUCAAGUGUGACUGUGAGAGCCGACUACCCGAAUACCGCCAUUACCCAUCAGACCCACCCGAGUGCCGCCACCAUCUUCUCCGUCACGACGACUACAACCUUCAGCCCAACCCGUCACUCUCGAAGAAUUCUCCAUGAUUUUUUCUCAGAAUACGAAUGUGGAUAUUACCUUCCUAUGGAGGAGUUAUCGUGCUACCAAUCGAAAACACUCUUGCAAGGUUAAUGAAUUACCGUCUAGCCCACACAAAACAUUUCACUCAGUUUUGAAACUAUUCAUCUCCAGUGCGAAUGAUGAUGGCAGUAUAGUGUCGGCUUUCCCGUGCCUUCUUAAAUCCUUUCCGCUUUUGGAAAAGCUUGAGAUGAGGUUUCCAAAUUCUCCUGGCCGUCAGAGCUCUGAACUUCCGAUUCCAUAUGUCCACAAGAAUCUGAAGGAGGUUAAGCUGACUAAUUUCCAUACAAAGUGGAUACCAGUUGCUAUCUACUUGUUGCAAAGUGUUUUCAUGUUGGAUAGUAUGGUGAUUACCAAAACAUCAAAAGGAUAUAUUAAUGUGGAACCUUGGAAUUGGAUAUUCGUUGAGAAAGAGUUCAAUCCUAAAGAACGUAUAAUUAUUUUAAAUUCGUUGAUUGGAAAGGCAUCAUCAACUAGUGCUAGAGUUACCCUUGAAUAAUCUUAUUCCUGGUAAAGUGAGAGUUACCUUUAAAUAAUCUUAUUCUUGGUUAUAAAUUAAUUUUAUGCUCUUUAAUCUGACUUUUUUCCCUUGCAGCUUUAAUAUUAUUUGAAUGAGUAUGAUAGGUGAAUCGAUUUUUGUGAUAGUGAUGAUGGAAUUCAAAUUUUGUUUGCUUGGAUUUUUUUUUUCUUGAUUCAUGUUGCUGUUUAAGUAAGGAUAAUGGAAUUGAUUGUUCAAUUUGUAACUUUAUCAUGAUGGAUCGAUAUUUGAUUGUUCAAAUGUAAUUGACUAGGUAUGGAACUACAAUAAAUUGUUUUUUUUUUUAAAAAAAAUAAAUAAAUAAUUGUUGUUGGUUUAAGUAUUGAUUAUUUCCUUUAAAAAAAGUUAUUGAUUAAUUUUUUUGACAAUGGUUUAUGGUCCCUUUGGUGUUGUUGUGGAUAUCCAUCCUAGAGUAAGUGGGACGUUGGACUUUUUCUCACUAUUUAUUUAUUAACUUUGACUAUAAUGUUUUACUAACAUAAUAAAAACAUAUUUCCUUAACCCCUAAAAAAUGAUUAAUAAGUUACUGUAGCUUAUCUAUAGUGACUUUCUGCAUAUGCCCCUCGAGGUGUUGAUUCAGCCAAUUGCUGAAGUCGUCAAGGGUUCUUUGGAGGACUAUGAUGAUAGCCUAAAAGCUUGUGUCGAAGCGUCAAAGAUGUGGAUGCAGGAAAGGAUUUGAAUUGGAAAGGAACUUCUUGAGGCCAAGUGUGAAAAAAUUCAAAAAAAGAUAAGGCUGAACGAAGAUGCAAACUUGGGUUGCCUCCAGAAGAUCCUGCUGCUGCAAACCUUCUGAACCCAUUGUUGAGGAGAAAAAGAGUAUUUUGCCAGUUAAGCCUAUUACGAAAGCAGAGCAAAUUAGAGAGUGCCUUUGAUUUUUAAAAACGAAUCAUAAGAUUAGGUCUUUCAUUUUGGUGUGCCUGAGAAUGGCAAUGGACUUAAGAGUUAGAAUGCUGAGCCAUUCAGGGAAUCAUCUUGAGAGCGUCUUUUGACUGUUUUGAGACAGAAUGCUUCUAGGUUGUUGAUGGAAGAUAUCUACAGAAAUCCAAGUCCUCUUCAAUUUGAUGGCCCUUGUGUUGAUGCUAAGGUUGUUAGUGUGUGUGCGGAAGACCAGUUUUAUAUGGGCUGUAUCAAGCAUCUGCAAGAAUUUUUAGACAAGGUAUAUGAUCCUUUCACUCCACUAUCAACUCUCAUAGUUUCGUGCUUAUGUGGUCAUGGAUCCACCUCGUUGGUUGGAGAUUUUGGAGUAUAAAUGACCUUCUGGCUGUACUCCUAGACACUUAACAGUCUGAGGAAUAUAGUCUGGCUGGAGAUUUCAUUUUAUUUUUGUUUUUUUUUAAAAAAGAGCAAGGACGAAAAAUGACAAUCUGUGGUACGAUGUAUUAGAUAAUAUUGCUAAGCAUAAAGAAAACAUACUAUCAAAACACGAACAUAGCAGCAUUAGUGAAUGUAUAACGAUAUUCCUUUUUGCAUUCUUUUGACACUUACGAUUUCUAAAUAUUUAACUAAUUACAUUUGUUAUUCUUGUUGCUGCUA